RNAcentral lists this ribosomal RNA (468 nucleotides) under uncultured bacterium. RNAcentral's name for it is "partial 16S ribosomal RNA". It matches the Rfam family "Bacterial small subunit ribosomal RNA", at positions 28 to 507 of the family's 1533-position model. The record is from RNAcentral.
GACGAACGCUGGCGGCGUGCUUAACACAUGCAAGUCGAACGGAAAGGCCCUGCUUUUGUGGGGUGCUCGAGUGGCGAACGGGUGAGUAACACGUGAGUAACCUGCCCUUGACUUUGGGAUAACUUCAGGAAACUGGGGCUAAUACCGGAUAGGAGCUCCUGCUGCAUGGUGGGGGUGGAAAUGUUUCGGCGGUUGGGGUUGGACUCGCGGCUUAUCAGCUUGUUGGUGGGGUAGUGGCUUACCAAGGCUUUGACGGGUAGCCGGCCUGAGAGGGUGACCGGCCACAUUGGGACUGAGAUACGGCCCAGACUCCUACGGGAGGCAGCAGUGGGGAAUAUUGCACAAUGGGCGGAAGCCUGAUGCAGCAACGCCGCGUGCGGGAUGACGGCCUUCGGGUUGUAAACCGCUUUCGCCUGUGACGAAGCGUGAGUGACGGUAAUGGGUAAAGAAGCACCGGCUAACUACGUG